GGGGGCGUUUGGUUUUGACAGCGUAGCUCUUUGGAAGUGUAAGCAUGUACUGCGUUGCGUAAUUAGCAGUUUAAUCUGAAUACGAAAAACACAAAUGGCAAUACACAGUAUGCCAUGGCUGCCUAAUCAGUGAUUAAGUAGUCAUUAGGGCCGCCGGGCCGGUUGAUCUGUUACCACGCCCCGCCGCCGACUCAAAAACAAAACAGGUUGCUGCAACCACAGGCUGUGCCGGUUGCUUAAGACUAUCCAGCUAAGGAAUUAAUCGGUUGUUCAUUUUAUCCUCCGUAGCCCCGGCGAAGGAGGGUUCCCAGUUGAUUCCCGAAAACUCAAAAUGAAAUAAACAUGUAGAAAGCUUUUGAAGAAUAUGUUUGGACACCGGUUCGAUUCCGGUCGCCUCCACAU
Molecule: transfer-messenger RNA, 402 nt
Filed under: Chitinophagaceae
Lineage: Bacteria; Pseudomonadati; Bacteroidota; Chitinophagia; Chitinophagales
Also listed under: 1 other name
Description: JJ008 sp017303855 Standard tmRNA
Rfam family: transfer-messenger RNA
About the family: Bacterial tmRNA, also known as 10Sa RNA or SsrA, is named for its dual tRNA and mRNA-like properties. Its role is to liberate the mRNA from a stalled ribosome.
Source: RNAcentral